RNAcentral lists this long non-coding RNA (426 nucleotides) under Hordeum vulgare. RNAcentral's name for it is "long non-coding RNA (HVUL_LNC009726)". Lineage: Eukaryota; Viridiplantae; Streptophyta; Magnoliopsida; Poales; Poaceae. The record is from RNAcentral.
ACGGCGAGGAUGCGAAUGACCGAGGAAGCAGGCCGCUAGCGAAGAAGGGAAUGACGCCACGACCAAUAAACAAGGAAAAUGGGACGCGGGGAAGGUAUCUUAGGUGGUGCUGAGCCUCUAGGGGAGAUCUAGGCAGGAUGGGAGUGAUCAUGGUUCCCAAAAUUUAGAGAGAGCCAACGGGAGAGCUUUGUCCAUGGGAAAUGAAGUAGCGCAUGAGAGGACAAAUUGAGGAGCUCGGGAGAUCUUCUGGAGGGUGAGAGAGAGAUCAGGGGCAAUGGGGAGGCUGCGGGUGGCCUUAUAUUGCGAGCUCAGGGCUCACCAUGGACACGAAGCAAGGCAAUGUCGAGGGCGAGGACAUCGGUCGUGGGAGCGGCCCAGACUAUGUCUUUGGCGUUCAUGGACGCGGUCCUAGACCAGGGAAGGAAA